AUUGAACGCUGGCGGCAGGCUUAACACAUGCAAGUCGAGCGGGGUGAUGGUGCUUGCACUAUCACUUAGCGGCGGACGGGUGAGUAAUGCUUAGGAAUCUGCCUAUUAGUGGGGGACAACAUCUCGAAAGGGAUGCUAAUACCGCAUACGUCCUACGGGAGAAAGCAGGGGAUCACUUGUGACCUUGCCCUAAUAGAUGAGCCUAAGUCGGAUUAGCUAGUUGGUGGGGUAAAGGCCUACCAAGGCGACGAUCUGUAGCGGGUCUGAGAGGAUGAUCCGCCACACUGGGACUGAGACACGGCCCAGACUCCUACGGGAGGCAGCAGUGGGGAAUAUUGGACAAUGGGGGGGAACCCUGAUCCAGCCAUGCCGCGUGUGUGAAGAAGGCCUUAUGGUUGUAAAGCACUUUAAGCGAGGAGGAGGCUCUUUUGGUUAAUACCCAAGAUGAGUGGACGUUACUCGCAGAAUAAGCACCGGCUAACUCUGUGCCAGCAGCCGCCGUAA
RNAcentral lists this ribosomal RNA (504 nucleotides) under uncultured bacterium. RNAcentral describes it as "partial 16S ribosomal RNA". It matches the Rfam family "Bacterial small subunit ribosomal RNA", at positions 30 to 523 of the family's 1533-position model. The record is from RNAcentral.